AUGGCUGGAGAUGUUGACCGAAGGAAGUCUACCUCAGGUUACUUGGUUACCUAUGUAGGGGGAGCGGUGUCAUGGCAAAGCAGGCUGCAGAAGUGUGUGGCAUUGAAUACAACUGAAGCUGAAUUCAUUGUUGUAACAGAGGCGAGCAAAGAGCUAUUGUGGCUGAAACGGUUGGCUUGUGAGCUUGGAUUUAAGAAAGACAAGUAUGUGUUGUUUUGUGACAACCAAAGUGCUAUCCACUUGAGUAAGAAUGCAAGUUUUCAUUCAAGGUCUAAGCAUAUAGAAGUCCGUUAUCAUUGGAUUCGAGAUGUGUUGUAUUCUAAGAAAAUGCAACUUGAGAAGGUUCACACCGAUGACAAUGGGGCUGAUAUGUUGACUAAAGUGGUGACAAGAAAGAAGCUCGAAGUAUGUCGCCGGCUCGCUGGCAUGGCUGCCGGAAGGCAGUGA
Molecule: ribosomal RNA, 447 nt
Filed under: Triticum aestivum (bread wheat)
Lineage: Eukaryota; Viridiplantae; Streptophyta; Magnoliopsida; Poales; Poaceae
Description: partial small subunit ribosomal RNA
Source: RNAcentral